RNAcentral lists this ribosomal RNA (512 nucleotides) under uncultured bacterium. Its description in RNAcentral is "partial 16S ribosomal RNA". It matches the Rfam family "Bacterial small subunit ribosomal RNA", at positions 28 to 507 of the family's 1533-position model. The record is from RNAcentral.
GAUGAACGCUGGCGGCGUGCCUAAUACAUGCAAGUCGAACGAAACUUCUUUAUCACCUAGUGCUUGCACUCACCGAUAAAGAGUUGAGUGGCGAACGGGUGCGUAACACGUGGGCAACCUGCCCAAAAGAGGGGGAUAACACUUGGAAACAGGUGCUAAUACCGCAUAACCAUAGUUACCGCAUGGUAACUAUGUAAAAGGUGGCUAUACUACCGCUUUUGGAUGGGCCCGCGGCGCAUUAGCUAGUUGGUAGGGUAAAGGCUUACCAAGGCAAUGAUGCGUAGCCGAACUGAGAGGUUGAUCGGCCACAUUGGGACUGAGACACGGCCCAAACUCCUACGGGAGGCAGCAGUGGGGAAUCUUCCACAAUGGGCGAAAGCCUGAUGGAGCAACGCCGCGUGGGUGAAGAAGGUCUUCGGAUCGUAAAACCCUUUUGUUAGGGAAGAAAGUGCUUGAGAGUAACUGUUCACGUUUCGACGGUAUCUAACCAAAAAGCAACGGCUAACUACGUG